RNAcentral lists this transfer RNA (76 nucleotides) under Candidatus Microgenomates bacterium. RNAcentral's name for it is "tRNA-Gly". It matches the Rfam family "tRNA". Rfam says of the family: Transfer RNA (tRNA) molecules are approximately 80 nucleotides in length. Lineage: Bacteria; Candidatus Microgenomatota. The record is from RNAcentral.
GCGGUGGUAGUUCAGAUGGUAGAACGUCUCCUUGCCAAGGAGAAGGUCGCCAGUUCAAGUCUGGUCCACCGCUCCA